GGCCGGGUGGCGCAAUGGUAGCGCGCUGCCUUCCGGUUGAGGAUGUGGCAGUGGUUGCGUGUUCGAGUCACGUCUCGGUCG
RNAcentral lists this transfer RNA (81 nucleotides) under Aspergillus homomorphus CBS 101889. Its description in RNAcentral is "Aspergillus homomorphus (strain CBS 101889) tRNA". It matches the Rfam family "tRNA". Rfam says of the family: Transfer RNA (tRNA) molecules are approximately 80 nucleotides in length. Their secondary structure includes four short double-helical elements and three loops (D, anti-codon, and T loops). The record is from Rfam by way of RNAcentral. RNAcentral also lists the same sequence under 1 other name. Lineage: Eukaryota; Fungi; Ascomycota; Eurotiomycetes; Eurotiales; Aspergillaceae.